AUAAACUUUCGUUUUGAUUUCGACACUGGAAAUAUUGUUAUUAUUAAGUUUUAAUAUAAUAAUUUUAAAGAUUUUCAAAACUUUUAAAGAGUACUGCAGAAUGCAACAAUAUGCUUGAAUUUGUUUACGUCCUCGUUAGCACAUUCGUGUGCAGACUGAAAAAAAUGGCGAAAAAUAUUGUCCGAAUGCAAUUACCAAUAGGACAGACGGCAACUAUUAAUAGACUAGCUGAUUUGGGUAGACGAAAGUGCACAACAGCAACAUUUACCCCAAAAUUUAGUCAAGCUGUUCCAUCCCCAUCCACGACCAUCGAUAGUUUUCCAGCUCUGAUAUGAAUACAAACUGUAUCUAAAUACAAACUCAAUAAAGAACACAACAAUUAACAGGCAUUGAAUAUCGGGAAUUUUGGAUGGUGCUUGUAUUAGGGCCGGUUGUUCAAUGUCUGGUUUUCACAAAUCGGAGGGAGAAGCUCCGGUUAAA
Molecule: long non-coding RNA, 480 nt
Organism: Rhagoletis zephyria (snowberry fruit fly)
Lineage: Eukaryota; Metazoa; Arthropoda; Insecta; Diptera; Tephritidae
Source: RefSeq, a predicted model, not a curated record